GAUGAACGCUAGCUACAGGCUUAACACAUGCAAGUCGCGGGGCAGCAUGGGGGUGGCUUGCCACCCCUGAUGGCGACCGGCGCACGGGUGAGUAACGCGUAUCCAACCUGCCCCUUACCACGGGAUAGCCCUCCGAAAGGGGGAUUAAUACCGUAUGUGGCCACGAGACGGCAUCUGACCGUGGCUAAAGGCUUUGCGGUAAGGGAUGGGGAUGCGUCUGAUUAGCCAGCCGGCGGGGUAACGGCCCACCGGGGCGACGAUCAGUAGGGGUUCUGAGAGGAAGGUCCCCCACAUUGGAACUGAGACACGGUCCAAACUCC
This 320-nucleotide ribosomal RNA is filed under the name uncultured Prevotella sp. Its description in RNAcentral is "bacterial SSU rRNA". It matches the Rfam family "Bacterial small subunit ribosomal RNA", at positions 28 to 339 of the family's 1533-position model. Lineage: Bacteria; Pseudomonadati; Bacteroidota; Bacteroidia; Bacteroidales; Prevotellaceae. The record is from RNAcentral.